This 574-nucleotide ribosomal RNA is filed under the name uncultured eukaryote. RNAcentral's name for it is "eukaryotic LSU rRNA". It matches the Rfam family "Eukaryotic large subunit ribosomal RNA", at positions 1090 to 1652 of the family's 3401-position model. The record is from RNAcentral.
CCCGAUCGGACCCCGGACGUGAAGUCGACGAUGGUCGGUGGGCUGGUUUUGGUAAGCAGAACGGGCGAUUCGGGAUGAACCGGAAGCGGGGAGAAAGGGCCCGAGAUUGCGUCGACGCGGAUCCCGAAAAGGGCGUCGAUCCGUCGCGACAGCGGGACGGUGGUCAUGGAAGUCGAAAUCCGCUAAGAAGCGUGUAAAAACGUACCCGCCCAACGGAUCGGCCCCGAAAAUUGAUGGCGCUCGAACGCAACCCUCGAACCCCGCCGACGGAGGCUAGGGGAGGCCCCGUCGAGUAGGCGGACGCGCGGGUCGCUUCGACGCUCCCGCGCGAGCGGGGGCGGAGCGGCCCGUGGUGCAGAUCUUGGUGGUAGUAGCGAUCACCCAGGCGAGAACCCUGAGGGCCGAAGUGGAGAAGGGUUUCUCGAGAACGGCACUCGCUCGAGAGUUAGUCGAUCCUAAGCUGCCGGCGGCAGCCACGAAACGGUCGAUCGGGCGCGAGCCCGGCAGCCACGACCGGGCAGCGAAAGGGAAUUGGGAACCUCUCCAACCGGACGGAACGAGGGCGGCGACGCGU